This 506-nucleotide ribosomal RNA is filed under the name uncultured bacterium. RNAcentral describes it as "partial 16S ribosomal RNA". It matches the Rfam family "Bacterial small subunit ribosomal RNA", at positions 28 to 523 of the family's 1533-position model. The record is from RNAcentral.
GAUGAACGCUAGCGGCAGGCCUAACACAUGCAAGUCGAGGGGCAGCACAUAAAGUGGUUUACUACUUUUGGUGGCGACCGGCGGACGGGUGCGUAACGCGUAUGCAACCUGCCUCCAACAGGGGGAUAACGGAGAGAAAUUUCCACUAAUACCCCAUAAUAUCAGAAUCGGCAUCGGUUUUGGUUGAAAACUCCGGUGGUUGGAGAUGGGCAUGCGUUGUAUUAGAUAGUUGGUGAGGUAACGGCUCACCAAGUCAACGAUACAUAGGGGGACUGAGAGGUUAGCCCCCCACACUGGUACUGAGACACGGUCCAGACUCCUACGGGAGGCAGCAGUGAGGAAUAUUGGUCAACGGGGGCAACCCUGAACCAGCCAUGCCGCGUGCAGGAAGACGGCUCUAUGAGUUGUAAACUGCUUUUACAAGGGGAUAAAUCGGUGAACGUGUACACCGUUGAAGGUACCUUGGGAAUAAGGAUCGGCUAACUCCGUGCCAGCCGCCGCAGUAA